GCCUGGGUGGCUCAGUCGUUUAAGUGUCCGACUUCAGCUCAGGUCAUGAUCUCAUGGUUUGUGGGUUCGAGCCCCACGUCAGGCU
This is a non-coding RNA of Felis catus (domestic cat), 85 nucleotides long. Lineage: Eukaryota; Metazoa; Chordata; Mammalia; Carnivora; Felidae. The record is from Rfam.